Molecule: ribosomal RNA, 253 nt
Filed under: uncultured bacterium
Lineage: Bacteria
Description: partial 16S ribosomal RNA
Rfam family: Bacterial small subunit ribosomal RNA
Source: RNAcentral
UACGAAGGGUGCAAGCGUUACUCGGAAUUACUGGGCGUAAAGCGUGUGUAGGCGGCUACAUAAGUCGGAUGUGAAAGCCCCGGGCUCAACCCGGGAAGUGCACUCGAUACUGCGUAGCUUAAGUCUCGGAGAGGUUGGUGGAAUUCUCGGUGUAGAGGUGAAAUUCGUAGAUAUCGAGAGGAACACCGGUGGCGAAGGCGGCCAACUGGACGAAGACUGACGCUGAGACACGAAAGCGUGGGGAGCGAACAGG